RNAcentral lists this unclassified non-coding RNA (142 nucleotides) under uncultured Capnodiales. RNAcentral's name for it is "sequence contains ITS2". Lineage: Eukaryota; Fungi; Ascomycota; Dothideomycetes; Capnodiales. The record is from RNAcentral.
CACCCAUCGAGCCUGGCUCGGUAUUGGAUCCCGGGGGUGACCCGGAUCCCAAAGUCGUCGGCUGGACAGCUCUGAUCUCCGCGUCGUGGAAUCCAUUCGCAGACGAGAUGGGCGUCCCAAGCCAAGCAAAAUAUCCAUUCAA